RNAcentral lists this unclassified non-coding RNA (4244 nucleotides) under Rhopalosiphum maidis (corn leaf aphid). RNAcentral describes it as "uHRF1-binding protein 1-like, transcript variant X2". The record is from RNAcentral. Lineage: Eukaryota; Metazoa; Arthropoda; Insecta; Hemiptera; Aphididae.
CAUUACGUCUUCCCAACAGGCGUGAGGCACUGAGGCGUUUAGUAACCACUACUUAUUACUACGUAUAGUGUACAUGUAUAUAAUAUUUCAAAUUUAUUGCUAUAGACAUUAAAAUGUUAUUAAUUUGUAAUAUUAUGGUGUUAUACAACCAUAUAUCAAAUAUGUGAAUACUGCAAGUCGACAUUUAAAUUUUUGUACACUAGUUUUAGAAUAUUUAAAUCUGUCAAAUUAUAGAAAUGGCUUCAGUUCUUAAAAAGCAAAUUUUAAAACAACUAUCGAGGUUUACCAAAGGCCUGAGAGAAGAAGACAUCAAUUUGAGUACGUUUAAAGGUGAAGGUGAAUUGACAUCUCUGGAACUUGAUGAAAAUGCUUUAAUGGAUGUAUUAGAUGUACCAUAUUGGGUACGAAUAACCAGUGCCAAAUGUGAUAGAGUUUUCUUUCAGGUUCCAUUCAUGGCAAUCAAGAAAGUUCCUAUGUCCUUGACUUUAGAUAAAGUUUCGGUUGAAAUCGAAACUUGUGACAAUGUGGAAUCAAUGGCGAUGAGGGAAAACGUUCAGACUGUACAACCGGGAAAAUAUAAAUUUAUUAAUCAAGUUAUUGAUGGCAUGACUAUACAAAUAAAUGAAGUUAAUAUUACUUUUAGAGAUCCUGCUUUUCAUGCUUCUGUUCAGAUUUUGAAAAUAUUAGUUCAAUCUAAAUCUCCUAACUGGGAGUCUACAAAUCUUAAAACAACAAGACUAAAAAAUGAACAGAAAACUCAAAUAUUAAUAUUUAAAGAGUUGACUUGGCAGAUGAUACGAAUUGAAUUAUAUUCUACUAAUGAUCGAAAUAAACCUCCUAUUAAAUUAUUCACAAAUGAUAUAAUUUGCCGGUUAACUAUUAAAAAGAGACUUUCAGAUUGUUUCAUUUUGGGAUGCAAGUUAGCAAUUUUAAUUGAAGAGUUAUUGUGCGUUUUCACUGAUUCUCAAAUGAAAGCAGCACUUCAUUACAUAGAUUCAUUAGCUGGUGUUGUAAAAAAAUCAACAGAUCUUUCUCGCAAGAAAAAAGCAAUUAGAAAACUUGAAUGUUUACCUGAAUAUCAAGCUCAACUAGAUCAGGAAAAGAGAGGAAAAUUUGUAUCAAGUUCAAAAAGUUCAUGUUUAUUUAGUUUUCAUGAUGUAAUUGAAACAUCGUAUCAUUUUGUUGCGCAGAAAAUUAAUCUUCAUCUUAGUGAUGAUCCUGGAAGUCGUUCUUUACAUCCAGAUUUACAAAAAGGUGGUUCAAUACAAAUUGAAGUAACUUGUUUUCAAGUUGAUCUAUAUCCUUAUCAUUUGGCUGAUAGUGAUCGAUUACAUUGGGGUCUUUACAAGAAAGCAAGUUCAUCUUUUUUUCAAUGGUUAAAAGAUUCCCAGUCUGAAUUUUGGGAAAAUCUGUAUACAUUAACGAGAGAAAAUUUCCAAAUUCCUGAUAUUCAAAAAGGAAAUAUUACUAAAUAUUUAAAAGCUCAAUAUUCAAAGCUGAUGACAAGUUGUACAGUUCUAAGAAUGUCUGACUUUGUUGUAUUUAGAGUCCAGUCAGGAAAAAAACAAGAUCAGAUUGCUUUUAUUAAAGGUGAUAAGGAACGUCAUAAAUUACCUCAUGAUUCUAAAGUAAUUCAUGCAGAAUUUACAUAUUAUUAUUAUCCUGGAGAUGUUGCAUUCCCUUUGCCCCCAUCAAAAUUUUAUGCACAAUUAAAUCCAGUUCAAAUGAACUUUGACGCAUUAACUGUACUAUGGUUAAAUACGUUUGCAUUAAAUGUCUAUAAAUCACUAAUGACUACUAAUGUAGCAAAUCAAGAUAAUUUAGGCAGUAUGAUUUAUUUUGACAUUCUUGUCGAAGCAAUUAUGCCUCGUCUUAUAUUUGAAGAAGAAAAACUUUGUAAUAAUCAAAAGGAUCGUCCCAAAUCAUUAAAUUUACAAACUAGUCGAGCUACUUUAAGUAAUGUCCGUAGUAAUGAACAUGGCAUGUCAAGAUCUGAUUUAGCUAAUUGUGUUAAUGGCUUGCAAUUUGCAUCUCUUUUCUAUUCUUCUGAAUAUCCAGCAAAAGAGGGAGAUUAUCAUCCUGUAACAGAAAAAUUAUUAAACCAUGCUCAAGAUAAUGAUGAUGUACGAGCUUACCCUAAUAAUAUAACAGUUUCUUCAUUAGAAGAGUUCAUAAAAGAAUUAAGCCAAGAACUUUUAUGGAUUGAAGCUAAAGAUAUUUGGUGUGUACGAUUAGAUCCUGUUUGGGGUGAUUUUUAUGGUGCCAGAGCAGUUGGAUCUACACCAGUACCUUUUCUUGAAGCAUUUCCUCUAACCUUAUGGGUUCAGCCACCUACCCUUACACCAAAAUCUGAAGUUUUUAAUAGAAACUUAAAAUAUGGGGAUAUGACAGUGUUAUGUUAUGUUCCAAAUUUAAUUAGCAUACAAAUCAAUCAUUUUCAAUAUCUUUUUCUUUUGCGUGUUGCUGAUGCAGUAGAUGAACUUGCUACAUAUAUUGUUGCUGAUCAACAUAAUAUAGUGGGAAGUAAAAAGAGUGGAUCAUUUGUAUUUGCUGCACUAUUUGCUCAAGUUGAAAUAACAUUUGUCACUAGUGCUCAGUUAGAUAUAAUGGGAAAAUCUGGAGGUGUUGAUGAUGUAAGCUCAAGUGUUGUAGCAGAUUCAUCAAGUAUAGCGACUCAAAGUGGUCAUAGUGCACAAUUGAGCAAUAACAUACAAACCACUACUUAUGAGGAUGUUGGAUAUGUGUACGAUAUGAGCCAAGCUUUCAGAAUACCAAUGGCUAUAUCUGAAGCCAGUUCCAAACGAAAAGAAUUUAUGUCGCAAAAGUCAGCGUCUGUUGUGUAUGAUAAUGUCAAAGAAAUGUCUCAAAUAAAAAUGGCUGAAUCAAUUACGUCAGAUAUAAAUUUACCAACUUUCAAAGGCAUGAAGAAACGUUGGUUUAAUUUUGGAGCAUCAGUUGAUCUCACAGGAAAACAAAAUAUAGACGAUUUUAAUGAUAAUGUUUCUGUUAGAUCUGAUAUGAGCUCAGAUAGUGAAAGUUUAAUGGACUUGAGCUUAGACACAAAUGAUGGUGCUGAUGUAAUGUUUAAGUUUCCUUCAGCACAAAGACCAAAAGGUGGAUUUAUUAAAAAUAUUGAAUUGGCUUCUGAAGCAUUUGAUGAUAUUUUUGGAGGAGGAGAAUUAACCCCACCAACCACUUCUAGUGAAAGGGAUUCAAUUGGAAGUUCUAUUAAACGAAAAGAUUUGAUUGCUAUAACUACUCUGAAAUUUGGACGAGUUGAAAUUCUACAUCAAUCAGAAGGUCUCAAUUCGGUUGUUAAAUUACAAGUCACAAAUGUUAGUACAGAAGAAUGCCCAUAUAUUCCAUGGGAUGAAUUUCAGGACAAAUUUACAACCAGAACACGAGACUGGAACGAAGUUGAAGGUGUUGCAGGUUUACCACAGAUACCCAGGGUAAUGGUUCGAUUAGAACACAAUAUUAUGCCUAAACGUGAUGAAAAACUGAUUAAUGUCGAUGAAUGGAAAAAUGAUAAUGUUACUGCUAAGAUUAACAAUGUUUAUUUAUCAUUAAAUUCAAACUCAUUAACUAGUUUAGCGGACUUUUUUGUUGACGAACAUCCAUCAAAAGCAUUGCCAUUUGAGGCAACUAUUGAAAACACAACUAUAAAACUGUGUAGUCCAACUCAAAAUGAUGCUUUACAAGAUGAAACAAGCAUAAAACCAACUGAUACAGAAAUUCAUCUUAGUAGGUUAAAAGUCGAACGCACUAAUGAUGGUUUGGUUUGUGUGGAACCAAUAAAAGAAAAUUGUGAUAGUCCUGAUAGUAGUAAUCAGCAAAUAGAAAUGAUGGAAGAAUUUAAAAAAAUUACUAUUGAAAAUGAAUACCUUCAUAGAAAACUGGGUACUCUUGAACGAUUAAAAGAAGAGAAUUUAGAAUUGCGUAGGUUUCAAGAAGAAAACAAAAGUCUAAAAAUAUUGUUAAGUGAGGCACAAGAUAACAUUAGCAAGUUAUUGGGAGAAAAACAAAAUCUAUUGGAUCAAGUACAUGUUCUAAAAGAGCCAAAGACUAAUAUGAUAGUGACUUCUUCGAAAAGAUAGCGUACGUGUUGGUGCUUUACUUGCACGAACGAUAGAUCACCAGUAUGACUGUUAUAAAACAAGGGUAUCAUCAAUAAAAAACCAAUCUUCAGUAUCGGUUAAACCAGGAUUAAAUGUAUCUGUCAUUAUAACUUAUAAAUGAUAAUA